GACGAACGCUGGCGGCGUGCCUAAUACAUGCAAGUUGAGCGCUGAAGGUUGGUACUUGUACCAACUGGAUGAGCAGCGAACGGGUGAGUAACGCGUGGGGAAUCUGCCUUUGAGCGGGGGACAACAUUUGGAAACGAAUGCUAAUACCGCAUAAAAACUUUAAACACAAGUUUUAAGUUUGGAAGAUGCAAUUGCAUCACUCAAAGAUGAUCCCGCGUUGUAUUAGCUAGUUGGUGAGGUAAAGGCUCACCAAGGCGAUGAUACAUAGCCGACCUGAGAGGGUGAUCGGCCACAUUGGGACUGAGACAAGGCCCAAACUCCUACGGGAGGCAGCAGGAGGGGAUCUUCGGCAAUGGACGAAAGUCUGACCGAGCAACGCCGCGUGAGUGAAGAAGGUUUUCGGAUCGUAAAACUCUGUUGGUAGAGAAGAACGUUGGUGAGAGUGGAAAGCUCAUCAAGUGACGGUAACUACCCAGAAAGGGACGGCUAACUACGUG
This 497-nucleotide ribosomal RNA is filed under the name uncultured bacterium. RNAcentral describes it as "partial 16S ribosomal RNA". It matches the Rfam family "Bacterial small subunit ribosomal RNA", at positions 28 to 507 of the family's 1533-position model. The record is from RNAcentral.